RNAcentral lists this ribosomal RNA (253 nucleotides) under uncultured bacterium. Its description in RNAcentral is "partial 16S ribosomal RNA". It matches the Rfam family "Bacterial small subunit ribosomal RNA", at positions 524 to 776 of the family's 1533-position model. The record is from RNAcentral.
UACAGAGGUCCCAAGCGUUGUUCGGAUUCACUGGGCGUAAAGGGUGCGUAGGUGGUGAGGUAAGUCGGAUGUGAAAUCUCCGAACUCAACUCGGAAAUGGCAUUGGAAACUACCUUGCUCGAGGGUUGGAGGGGGGACUGGAAUGCUUGGUGUAGCAGUGAAAUGCGUAGAUAUCAAGCGGAACACCAGUGGCGAAGGCGAGUCCCUGGACAACUCCUGACACUGAGGCACGAAAGCUAGGGGAGCAAACAGG